This 216-nucleotide small RNA is filed under the name Ophiocordyceps unilateralis. RNAcentral's name for it is "A. fumigatus sRNA Afu_309". It matches the Rfam family "A. fumigatus sRNA Afu_309". Lineage: Eukaryota; Fungi; Ascomycota; Sordariomycetes; Hypocreales; Ophiocordycipitaceae. The record is from Rfam by way of RNAcentral.
GCUUCCAAAUUCUUCACGGACUUGUGCCCGGCAGUCCCCUGCGGCAACGUUAGGGUCGACAGCCGCGCAGCUCGAUAACAGCAUGGAGCCAUCAACGUGUUAUGAUGUCAAUCAUCCUAUCGACAGGUCCUAGAACGACAAGGCGCUAUAUUCCAACCCUCUUUUCCGAGGCCGUCGGUCCGUGAGGUUGGGGAAAACCAUGGCCUGCCUACAUAC